UCUUUGAUUUCGUUUCUUCCAAUUGUUUAUCGAAGCCUGCACAUGGAAUAACAGUCGCUGUUUGCUGGUGUAGCAUCAUCAAGAUUCACAUGCAAUAGUCGAUCGGCCUGAGAUGUAUUAAUUCAUUCUCUGUGUCUCCAAUCGAUCUCUGAGGUGAGAAUCUUGAUGAUGCUGCAUCGGCAAUAAACGGCUCUAUGAAGAAGUAUGAAUGGAAGAACUCCUUAAACCUCUUUGGAGCCCAAACUCUUUAUUUGAACAAAGGAAAACUAAAGAAGCUACUGGGACGAGCAAGAAGUGGGUUGCUAUGCAAAGGUAAGGGAAAAUAAUUUCCUGUUGAUCCUUUUUAUUUCAUCAACCCCUUUUCUUUUUGUUUUUUUGGUGGGCUACAUCAGUGUACGGAUGUUGAUAUCUUACAUAAAAACCCAACUGAGGAUUGUGAAGUUUUAGGGUUUUGUGUGGGGAUUUUUAAUGUUUAUGUUGAAUACUUUUAUGUGCUUAUGGGUAUUGUUCCAAGUGUUUUGUCUAAUUGUCUCUGAAUGCGAGUGAGUUUUGAAACUUGAAAUGCUCUCCCUGGAAACUUUAAUAGCAAAUUUUGUUGAGAA
Long non-coding RNA from Macadamia integrifolia, 602 nucleotides. RefSeq lists it as uncharacterized. NCBI's taxonomy places the organism in Eukaryota, Viridiplantae, Streptophyta, Magnoliopsida, Proteales, Proteaceae. The transcript has 2 exons. The record is from RefSeq and is a predicted model, not a curated record.